RNAcentral lists this ribosomal RNA (253 nucleotides) under uncultured bacterium. RNAcentral's name for it is "partial 16S ribosomal RNA". It matches the Rfam family "Bacterial small subunit ribosomal RNA", at positions 524 to 776 of the family's 1533-position model. The record is from RNAcentral.
CACGUAGGGCGCAAGCGUUGUCCGGAAUUAUUGGGCGUAAAGAGCUCGUAGGCGGUCUGUUACGUCUGCUGUGAAAACCCGGGGCUUAACCCUGGGCUUGCAGUGGAUACGGGCAGACUAGAGGCAGGUAGGGGAGAAUGGAAUUCCCGGUGUAGCGGUGAAAUGCGCAGAUAUCGGGAGGAACACCAAUGGCGAAAGCAGCUCUCUGGGACGGUACUGACGCUGAGACGCGAAAGCGUGGGGAGCGAACAGG